GCCAGCAGCCAUAUCACCUGCAACUCCUAACUGGCAACCCACUGAAGCUCAGCAGGUUUGAGCCUGGUUAGUACCUGGAUGAAAUUCCUCCUGGGAAAAACUAAGGUUGCUGCUGGAA
This 118-nucleotide ribosomal RNA is filed under the name Lepisosteus oculatus (spotted gar). The record is from RNAcentral. Lineage: Eukaryota; Metazoa; Chordata; Actinopteri; Semionotiformes; Lepisosteidae.